This 183-nucleotide non-coding RNA is filed under the name Anaerobacillus arseniciselenatis. RNAcentral's name for it is "Bacillus arseniciselenatis 6S / SsrS RNA". It matches the Rfam family "6S / SsrS RNA". Rfam says of the family: E. coli 6S RNA was the first non coding RNA to be sequenced, but its function was unknown until recently. It consists of 184 nucleotides that fold into an extended hairpin structure with a large single-stranded internal bulge. The 6S RNA specifically associates with RNA polymerase holoenzyme containing the sigma70 specificity factor. The record is from Rfam by way of RNAcentral. Lineage: Bacteria; Bacillati; Bacillota; Bacilli; Caryophanales; Bacillaceae.
ACUUACCUGCGAUGAACGUGGGCUUAAGAUGUCUCAAACCGAUGCAUUGUUUACGGGAAUUCAAAUUGUUACUCGGACAACAAGCCAAGUAAGCUAAUUGGAAGUUGAAAAAGUAACUGCGAAUACCCACCUGCUUGAGAGCGGGUUUUGAGGCACAACAAGCUACGUCAGAGCGGGGGAACA